CAGUCUGCAACUCGACUGCACAAGCUGGAAUCGCUAGUAAUCGCGGAUCAGCACGCCGCGGUGAAUACGUUCCCGGGCCUUGUACACACCGCCCGUCACACCAUGGAAGUCUGCAAUGCCCGAAGCCGGUGGCCUAACCACUUAUGUGGAAGGAGCCGUCUAAGGCAGGGCAGAUGACUGGGGUGAAGUCGUAACAAGGUAAC
Molecule: ribosomal RNA, 203 nt
Filed under: uncultured bacterium
Lineage: Bacteria
Description: partial 16S ribosomal RNA
Rfam family: Bacterial small subunit ribosomal RNA
Source: RNAcentral